RNAcentral lists this unclassified non-coding RNA (377 nucleotides) under uncultured Parachlamydiaceae bacterium. Its description in RNAcentral is "contains 16S-23S intergenic spacer region". The record is from RNAcentral. Lineage: Bacteria; Pseudomonadati; Chlamydiota; Chlamydiia; Parachlamydiales; Parachlamydiaceae.
UCCUGGUUAACCCAGGCAGUCUCGUUAGAGUUCCCACCUUAAAUGUUGGCAACUAACGAUAAGGGUUGCGCUCGUUGCUGGACUUAACCAAACACCUCACGGCACGAGCUGACGACAGCCAUGCAGCACCUGUGCAGCAGUCCCGAAGGAAGAUGCCAUUUCUGGCACUGUCUACUGCAUGUCAAACCUGGGUAAGGUUCUUCGCGUUGCAUCGAAUUAAACCACAUGCUCCACUGCUUGUGCGGGUCCCCGUCAAUUCUUUUGAGUUUCAGCCUUGCGACUGUACUCCCCAGGCGGUAUACUUAACGCGUUAGCUCCGGCACAGUCAGGGUUGAUUCCGACUACACCAAGUAUACAUCGUUUACGGCAAGGACUAC